UACGUAGGGACCAAGCGUUGUUCGGAUUUACUGGGCGUAAAGGGCGCGUAGGCGGCUUGACAAGUCAGUUGUGAAAUCUCCGGGCUUAACUCGGAACGGUCAAGUGAUACUGUCGCGCUAGAGUGCGGAAGGGGCAAUCAGAAUUCUUGGUGUAGCGGUGAAAUGCGUAGAUAUCAAGAGGAAUACCUGAGGUGAAGACGGGUUGCUAGGCCGACACUGACGCUGAAGCGCGAAAGCCGGGGGAGCAAACAGG
This 253-nucleotide ribosomal RNA is filed under the name uncultured bacterium. RNAcentral's name for it is "partial 16S ribosomal RNA". It matches the Rfam family "Bacterial small subunit ribosomal RNA", at positions 524 to 776 of the family's 1533-position model. The record is from RNAcentral.